AAAAACUGAUGAUGGAAAGAGAUCAAUAUAUUACCCAGAUUGGAAUGAGCAGGGAACACUUCAAAUUAACUGUGGCUAAGCUGCUAAAGAAAAUAGGGAAGAUCAAAAAGCAGAUGAAAUAAGGGCACAUUUCAACAGAGAAUUGGAAUCUAGACAAGAAUCAAAUCAAGAUUUUGGGCAAAUGCAAAAUGUGAAACUAAAGUUAAUUGAAUAGGUUUAAUUGUAUACUGGGUCCUGAAUAAGAUGAUAAGAUGGGACUCAUGAAUACAAUGACAGGUCAAUAGGAAAUUGCCAAAUGGAAGCAUGGAGAGCAAUUGAAAAACAAAACAAAACAGAAAAACACACAGAAGAGAAUAAAUGAUAAAAGAUAUAAGGAACAUAUAUAUAUAUAUGAAUAUAAGCCAUACAUACACAUAACUUAAGUACCAAAAUGAGAGGAGAAACACAUUGAGGGAGAAGCAAAAUUUGAAGUAAUAAUGGCUAAGAAUUGUCCAAAACUGAUGAAAGACAUUAACUCAAAGAUUCAAGAAACUCAGCAAAAUCCAAACUGGAAGUACACAAAGAAAACCACACCUGGGCACAUCAUAGUCAAACUGUUGAAAAUCAAAGCAAGGACUAAAUUUUUAAAGACGCCAGAGGACAUUCAGGUUUGUUUCCAUGUCUCGGCUAUUGUGAAUAAUGCUGCAAUGUACAUGGGAGAGCAAGUAUCUCUUCAAGAUUCUGAUUUUAAUUCCUUUGGAGAAAUACCCAGAGGUGGGAUUGCUGGAUCAUAUGGUAUUGGGUUGGCCAAAAGGUUCAUUUGGGUUUUUCCAUAAGAUGUUACAGAACAAUAGUUCUGUUUUUAGUUUUCUGAGAACCUUCCGUACUGUUUUCCAAAAUGACUGUCCCAAUUUGCGUUUCCACUAAUAGUGCACAAAGGUCCCUUUUUUCCAUAUCUGGUUUUGAUUUGCAUUUCCCUGAUAAUUAGUGAUGUUGAGAAUGUUUUCAUAUACCUGUUGGCCAUUUGUGUAUCUUCUUUGGAAAAAAAUGCCUAUUUAGGUUCUUUGCCCUUUUUAAAUCAGUUUUUUCUUUCUUUCUUUUGCUAUUGAGUUGUAUGAUUUCCUCUGAUAUUUUAGAAAUUAAUAUGCAUACAUAAAAUUAAUCCAGCUAUUCACAUACACUUGGUACAAUUUAAUGUAUGGCUGUUACAUCUCAAUCAAAAGAAGGAAAUGCAAUGGACUUGUGCUAGCCCACUGGAUAGACUAGUGACCUAACCUUUGGCCAGUCCCUUCUUUGUCGUGAAUAGUAUUUUCUUCAGAGAGGUGUUUUUCAUAGAUCAAAGAAUCCUUAGGAAGUCUAACAAAAUAAGUAGUUUACCUGUCCUGGAAGAGUGCCAUUUGUCAAAGUUCAUUAAGUGUUUGUUGGUUUGUUUUAAGUUUUCUUUUUUUUUUCUUUUUUUUUUUUUUGCGGUACGCGGGCCUCUCACUGUUGUGGCCUCUCCCGUUGCGGAGCACAGGCUCCGGACGCGCAGGUUCAGCGGCCAUGGAUCACGGGCCCAGCCGCUCCACGACAUGUGGGAUGUUCCCGGACCGGGGCACGAACCCGCGUCGCCUGCAUCGGCAGGCGGACUCUCAACCACUGCGCCACCAGGGAAGCCCUGUCAAAUGAGAAUUUUAAACACUGGGUUUAACAGACAGAGGCCCCUUCUAAGUACUUUACAAUUAUUAACUCAUUUAAUGCUCACGACAACCCUAUGAAGUGGGUGCUAUUAGUCCCGUUUUGUAGCAGGGGAAACUGAGGCACAGGGAGGCUAAGCAAGCUGCCCAAGGUCACAGCCGGCUGGGGGCGGGCGAGAUUCUACCUCGUGCCGUCCUGCACCGGACUAGGUGCGUAGGCUUCCCUAUACUGGUGGGGUCUUGAAUGUGGGAUCUUGUCCGUCCCCCCCAUCAGGAUGUGAGCUCUGGUACCUCGGCUGGUGCACACAGGCAUUUAAUGAACAUUGUGGAAUCAAGAAGGGAUGAGUGGAUAUCUUCGGAUGGCCACAUCCCUUCGUGACCGCCUGCGCCCUCCUGCCGUGCUCUGCUCGGGGAAUUCUAUUCGUGGUCAAGACGUUUAGUCCCAGUAAACUCGAUCCUCGGGGCGAGGGGGGACCCCAAGGAAAUCACCAGCUUGGGCUGAGUCAGGACGGAGAAGAAUCCGCUCACAGCGGGGCACGGGCGCCACCUGGCGGCGGAGUCCUGCUAAGACAGAGCCGCUGGGAGACCCGGAACGUUUGCUUUGGGUGAAGUGGAAUCGACAUCUGAAAGGGAGUUGAUAUCGGGUGUUAUUAGUGGGCGGUUGUCUGAAAAUCAGUGUAUGAUGAUGGGUGCCAUCUACCAGUGGCUUCCAAACUUUUCUGGCCGUGACGCGCAGUAAGAAAUCAUUUCACAUUAACAUGGUUUCAUCAAAUACCACCCUGUACUGCAUGAUGUUUUUUAUUCUACUGUAUUCCUAUUUUUAAAUGUUAGUCAGAUCCCCUGAUCACACCUCCAGGGACUCCCCCUCUGACUUCAAGAUGAACGGAGCUCAGAGAGGUGAAGACACUUGUCCAAAUCCACACAGGUUGUAUGCGACAGUGCCAGUUUCUGCCUCAGUCCUGAAGCACAGAAAUCACUAAAUGCUCCAAAUUUCACUGCUAUUGAGUAUAAUUUAAUUUAGUCCUUUCUCCAUUUUGCCCAUAAGAUUGAGCUGCACUGGUCUGCUGUUUUCUUAUUACUGUAUAAUGUAAAUGAAUGACAUUCCCGAGCUCAGGCUUAAAAAAUGCAAGUCUUCUUAUGUUACAAAAUGAAUCUGAGACAGCAAUAAAGAACCUACAUUGAGGUGGCACUCGCAGCAUCAUUGCCAACACCACUGUCACCAUCACCACCAUCACCAUCGUCACCACGGUCGUCAUCAUAACCGUCACAUCCCCUUCUCUGUCACCGUCAGCAUCACAUCGUGAUCAUCAUCACUGUCACCACCUUCAUUCACCAUCAUCAUCGCCAUCCCCACUACGGCCAUCACCAACAUCACCACUGUCACCGCCACAAAAAUCGCCCCCACUUGAAAGCAGGUAUCAGCAGCCCACACUUUUUGUCUCCUAGCUACAGCCUUGGCCCAGCAAGCCUGCGUCCUCCAUCUCUCUCUCCACCCUGAGCCACAGGGGAUGUGACUGUGACCCCGAGGGUAGUGCUGUCUUACUUGGGAACAAAGAGGAUUCUGGGUUUGAUUCUCCAACUUUUCUUUAAGUGACCUCAGUUCUCUUCUGAGCUUGUUGCCACAAGGUUGACCAUCCAUAGAUGGUGAGCCCAGCCCCUGGACCAGGGGAGGCUCUGCCCAGUGUAGCUCUAGGACCCUUGAGGUGGCUGAGACUCGGGGUGGGGUGUUUAAGGCUGAACGCCUCCUGCUAUAGGGGUUUGAGACCACUUUGGGAGGGGAGACCUGAGGGUCUGUGUUCUCUGUACUCAUUGUCCUGUCUUAGGAGAGAAAGAGGAAGUCCCUCUGGGAUGGCAAACAGGGCCGGUCGUCAUGACUCUGCCCCCCGCCAAGAUGAGACUUCCCAGGUCCCAAAGGAGAAAGUGAGAAUGACAGCCUAACUUCCAGAAGUCCCAUCCUAGGGAGUUGCCAUUUCCAUCGCCUUCCUGAAAUACCCGUUUUUAAAUUUCUUGUUCACUGUUAUAUCCCCAGAGCCUAGUACCCUGUAUGGCACAUAGUAAGUACUCAAUAAAUGUUUGUCAAAUCAACGGGAAAAGAGAUGGAGAGUCCCCCUCCCCUGCAACUGUUAGGGAAGAGAUGGGAUUCUGCAUCAUAUCGUUAAUUCAAAGGAUCUGAUUUGAUACGGUGUGAAGGGGAGAACUUUUACAAAAUUAUUAACUUUGUACUGUGCACUAAAGAGACUUUGAAAAUUAAUAAUUCACUCCAACAUCUCCUGUUCCUUACGAAUAUUUCUCAGAAGUGAUUUCAACAAAAAUGUUUUCUACCAUGCCCCAAACUGUAGGAGUUGUGGUCAGGUCCAGUGACUAUUCCCUCCAGAAGAAGGCUUUCACCCUGCUGGGUUGUCUUGAUCAUUUGCGGCCCUGCUUUUAACAUCCUGCCUGUAAACUGAAUAAAUACAGAACUAGUGAGCCCACGUUUGUACUAAAUUAGCAAACGGUGCCAGGCCCACCGAUGACAACUUCCGGGAUGGCUGAGAGUAGAAGGUGGCGACCCCUGCUCGCAGCCCCGACAACACACAGGCGAGAGUCACCUCCAAUUUUGUCCCAUUUUUUGAGUCCAAUUUUGAAGAUGGUUUUGUGUUCUUAAAGCAUUCUUAUAAAGCCUGUGUGUUGAACUGCAUUUGUGAGAACAAAAUGAGUUCUAGGUCCCUUAUUUUUCUUUAAUACUUUCUUUCUGUUGUUACUAUUUAUAUUGUUUGUAUGUCUUGAUAAAAGCUAAUUAAUCAACGA
This is a long non-coding RNA of Lagenorhynchus albirostris (white-beaked dolphin), 4442 nucleotides long. RefSeq lists it as uncharacterized. The transcript has 2 exons. NCBI's taxonomy places the organism in Eukaryota, Metazoa, Chordata, Mammalia, Artiodactyla, Delphinidae. The record is from RefSeq and is a predicted model, not a curated record.